This 253-nucleotide ribosomal RNA is filed under the name uncultured bacterium. RNAcentral describes it as "partial 16S ribosomal RNA". It matches the Rfam family "Bacterial small subunit ribosomal RNA", at positions 524 to 776 of the family's 1533-position model. The record is from RNAcentral.
UACGGAGGAUGCAAGCGUUAUCCGGAUUUAUUGGGUUUAAAGGGUGCGCAGGCGGAAUGAUAAGUCAGUGGUGAAAUCCUACGGCUCAACUGUAGAACUGCCAUUGAUACUGUUGUUCUUGAGUACAUUUGUAGUGGGCGGAAUGUGUCAUGUAGCGGUGAAAUGCUUAGAGAUGACACAGAACACCGAUCGCGAAGGCAGCUCACUAAGCUGUAACUGACGCUCAGGCACGAAAGCGUGGGGAUCAAACAGG